GACCGAUUGGCCUAGUGGUUACGGCGCUCGCUUUACAUCGUGAACGCGAGAGAUCGCAGGUUCGAUCCCUGCAUCGGUCA
This is a transfer RNA of 80 nucleotides. It matches the Rfam family "tRNA". Rfam says of the family: Transfer RNA (tRNA) molecules are approximately 80 nucleotides in length. Their secondary structure includes four short double-helical elements and three loops (D, anti-codon, and T loops). Further hydrogen bonds mediate the characteristic L-shaped molecular structure. tRNAs have two regions of fundamental functional importance: the anti-codon, which is responsible for specific mRNA codon recognition, and the 3' end, to which the tRNAs corresponding amino acid is attached (by aminoacyl-tRNA synthetases). tRNAs cope with the degeneracy of the genetic code in two manners: having more than one tRNA (with a specific anti-codon) for a particular amino acid; and 'wobble' base-pairing, i.e. permitting non-standard base-pairing at the 3rd anti-codon position. The record is from Rfam.